Molecule: transfer RNA, 72 nt
Filed under: Camelus ferus (Wild Bactrian camel)
Lineage: Eukaryota; Metazoa; Chordata; Mammalia; Artiodactyla; Camelidae
Rfam family: tRNA
About the family: Transfer RNA (tRNA) molecules are approximately 80 nucleotides in length. Their secondary structure includes four short double-helical elements and three loops (D, anti-codon, and T loops).
Source: Rfam by way of RNAcentral
GAGGGUAUAGCUCGAGUGGUAGAGCACAUGCCUAGCGUGCCUGAGUCCUGGGUUCAAUCCCCAGGACCUCCA